UACGUAGGGUCCGAGCGUUGUCCGGAAUUAUUGGGCGUAAAGGGCUCGUAGGCGGUUGGUCACGUCGGGAGUGAAAACUCAGGGCUCAACCCUGAGCGUGCUUCCGAUACGGGCCGACUAGAGGUAUGCAGGGGAGAACGGAAUUCCUGAUGUAGCGGUGGAAUGCGCAGAUAUCAGGAGGAACACCGGUGGCGAAGGCGGUUCUCUGGGCAUUACCUGACGCUGAGGAGCGAAAGCAUGGGGAGCGAACAGG
This 253-nucleotide ribosomal RNA is filed under the name uncultured bacterium. RNAcentral's name for it is "partial 16S ribosomal RNA". It matches the Rfam family "Bacterial small subunit ribosomal RNA", at positions 524 to 776 of the family's 1533-position model. The record is from RNAcentral.